Molecule: non-coding RNA, 72 nt
Organism: Phrynosoma platyrhinos (Desert horned lizard)
Lineage: Eukaryota; Metazoa; Chordata; Lepidosauria; Squamata; Phrynosomatidae
Source: the annotation of a GenBank genome assembly
GCCAGUGUGGUUGUGUGGUUGGAGUGUUGGACUUGGACUCUGGAGACCAGGGUUCAAAUCCCAGCUUGGCCA